RNA transcript from Cercocebus atys (sooty mangabey), 1486 nucleotides. It is a transcript of the gene named 40S ribosomal protein S4, Y isoform 1-like, with no coding region annotated. NCBI's taxonomy places the organism in Eukaryota, Metazoa, Chordata, Mammalia, Primates, Cercopithecidae. The transcript has a single exon. The record is from RefSeq and is a predicted model, not a curated record.
UUGAAAUUGGUUAAAGUACUGAAUUGGUAGAAAAACUAAUACAACUAGUAAGGAUAUAUUUACCAACUUUCUUUAGAAAGGCAUUCCUCAAUCCAAAAUUACUUUUCUUUAAUUCACAUAUAUACUACUAUUCUUAUGAUUUCACUUUCAUAUUUACAUUCUCAUCCAUCUGUAGUUUAAAUCAUAAGGAAGAAACCCAACCAAUUAUUUUUCUCCAAGUGACUAGCCAUUACAAAAUUGCUUUAAUUUGUUAUUUUAAUAUCUGAUAGGGUAGCCCCUCCAAGGUUAACAUUCUUAAAGGGGGUAGCUGAAAUAAUUCAAAGUUGGAGUAAAACAAAACAUGGAAUUUUUUCCCAUGAACCAUUCAUUGAAUGAUUUUUUAAAAAUCUCCAGUCUGCCUAUUUACAUGUUAAUUAUACAAUUUACAUAAUUAUACUAUUACUUACUGCAGUAUCACUAUUUAAACCAUUGUAAAUUCAUAUUUGCAGAUAACAGCUAAAGUAUGCUUGCUUAUAGUUUCCAUUCCAGGAACUACUGGACAAAAGUUUCUUCCUUGUCUCUAAAAUUUAAUUUCCCUAAUUCAGUUUUAAGAUUUAGAUCACAUUGAGAGUAUGGUUGCACCGGAAAAGAAGAGAUUCUCUUCCCUCACUGGGUUUCGCCAUUGCCCGGGGCCCCAAGAAGCACUUGAAGCCUGUUGCAGCUCAGAAGCAUUUGGAUGCUUGACAAACUAACGGGUGUAUCUGCACCUUGUCCAUUGACAGGUCCCCACAAGCUGAGGGAAUGUCUUCCCCUGAUUAUCUUCCUCAGGAAUAGACUCAAGUACACAUUGACUGGAGAUGAGAUAUGUAUGCAACGCUUCAUCAAAAUUGAUGGUAGGGUUCGAGCGGACAGCACAUACCCUGCUGGAUUCAUGGAUGUCAUCAGCAUCAAGAACACAGGUAAACAUUUCUGCCUGGUCUAUGGCACCAAGGGCCGUUUUGCCGUUCACCACAUCACAGUGGAAGAGGCAAAGUAAAAGUUGUGCAAAGUGAGGAAGAUCACUGUGGGGAUGAAGGGAAUCCCACACCUGGUGACUCAUGAUGCUACCCAAAUCUGCUUAUCAAGAUGAAUGAAACUGUGCAGACUGAUUUAGGGACUGGCAAGAUAAUCAACUUGAUCAAAUUCGACAUAGGCAAUGUGUGUAUGGUGAUUGGUGGAGCCAGCCUCAGUCGUCUUGGUGUGACCAACAGGGAAAGACAUCCUGGUUCUUUUGAUGUGGUGCAUGUGAAGGAUGACAAUGGCAACAGCUUUGCCACAAGGGUUUCUGACAGUUUUGUCACUGGCAAUGGCAAUAAGCCUUGGAUUUCUCUCCUUAGGUGAAAGGGCAUACGACUUAAAACUAUUGCGGAAGAGAAAGACAAGAGACUGGCCACCAAACAGAGCAGUAGCUAAAUUAUAGUAGCAGCAUAUCUUUUUUCUUUGCACAAAUAAACAGUGAAUUCUCGUU